RNAcentral lists this long non-coding RNA (359 nucleotides) under Pan troglodytes (chimpanzee). RNAcentral's name for it is "long non-coding RNA NONPTRT001997". Lineage: Eukaryota; Metazoa; Chordata; Mammalia; Primates; Hominidae. The record is from RNAcentral.
UCACACUUUAUCAUGUAAAUGCAUAUUUACAAAAUUUUAAAAAGGUGGAUUAUGCAAACUAUUGUAGGGACAUACAAAAAAAAUGUAGAUUAUUUACCAGCCAGAAAAUUAUGCAUUUAAAAACAUGUUGAAACGCUUACUCUUCACGUGAAAAACCCUAAGUGCUCCUCCUCACUGGAAUGGUUGAUCACACCAGUGUGUGCUUUAUUUAGACAAAAUAACAGACAACUUCAGUUCCUGUUCCCUGCAGGAGGUGAGGCUGGGCGUGGGCACUGUCCUGGCCUAGCGGCUCUCAGGACAGCCGGUGCCGUGGCAGAGCAGCCACGUGGCCCGAGAGGCGCGCGGGGGGCCGGGGGCCG